UUUCCCUUCAAAACUGCAAGGGUAGCUUUCCUGAAGAAAGCAAAAACUUCUUUAGCUUCCAAAACGGUAUUUAGUACAAACAGUGAAGCAAAUAUAGACAAAUCUGAUCAUUCAUCAUCAACAAUAACUGCAUCUGAGAUUAAUAGUUCUACAGUAACCAUGGGGUGUAGGUCAACAAUUACUAUUUCUCAUCCAAGCCAUUUUUGUUUAACUGCUACACAUUCCCUGACUCUGCCAAGGAAAAGGUACAUUAUUCUAGGGUAAAAUCACAAUGAUAUCCUGGGGACUUAAGCACUGAUGAUUUCACCAUUUCAAAAGCUAAAGUUAGUCGCCAAAUUAUGGAAAAAGCAAUAAAGGACAAAAAAAUUAAAAUUCGAAGAUUGAAAGAAACAUAUUUGUGCCAAAGAAAUCGAAUUAGAUGUCUCAAGUCAUUAUUAAAAUACUUUUUAAAAAAGAUUUUC
Anthonomus grandis grandis is the source of this 461-nucleotide long non-coding RNA. RefSeq lists it as uncharacterized. The record is from RefSeq and is a predicted model, not a curated record. The transcript has 3 exons. NCBI's taxonomy places the organism in Eukaryota, Metazoa, Arthropoda, Insecta, Coleoptera, Curculionidae.